UCAGGAUGAACGCUAGCUACAGGCUUAACACAUGCAAGUCGAGGGGCAGCAUGGUCUUAGCUUGCUAAGGCCGAUGGCGACCGGCGCACGGGUGAGUAACACGUAUCCAACCUGCCGUCUACUCUUGGACAGCCUUCUGAAAGGAAGAUUAAUACAAGAUGGCAUCAUGAGUCCGCAUGUUCACAUGAUUAAAGGUAUUCCGGUAGACGAUGGGGAUGCGUUCCAUUAGAUAGUAGGCGGGGUAACGGCCCACCUAGUCUUCGAUGGAUAGGGGUUCUGAGAGGAAGGUCCCCCACAUUGGAACUGAGACACGGACCAAACUCCUACGGGAGGCAGCAGUGAGGAAUAUUGGUCAAUGGCCGAGAGGCUGAACCAGCCAAGUCGCGUGAAGGAAGAAGGAUCUAUGGUUUGUAAACUUCUUUUAUAGGGGAAUAAAGUGGAGGACGUGUCCUUUUUGUAUGUACCCUAUGAAUAAGCAUCGGCUAACUCCGUG
RNAcentral lists this ribosomal RNA (493 nucleotides) under uncultured bacterium. RNAcentral describes it as "bacterial SSU rRNA". It matches the Rfam family "Bacterial small subunit ribosomal RNA", at positions 24 to 507 of the family's 1533-position model. The record is from RNAcentral.